This is a long non-coding RNA of Chelonoidis abingdonii (Abingdon island giant tortoise), 2144 nucleotides long. RefSeq lists it as uncharacterized. NCBI's taxonomy places the organism in Eukaryota, Metazoa, Chordata, Testudines, Testudinidae. The record is from RefSeq and is a predicted model, not a curated record.
CUUUCAGGGGCUGGACUUUACGCUGCUCUCCUCACUUGGCCGGUUUGACUCGCAGGGUUUAAAGUGAGCACACCUACCAGCUCUCCAUUGUUGAGUGUGACUGACCAGCUGAUCAUAACGACUACACACUGCAGAUGCUCUCCUGCCUAUGCCUGGAGUAGACAGGAGAUAUUGGAUCUCCCGAGUCGUGGGCCUGCAGGGAGAAAAGGCUGUGCAGGCACAGCUCAAAGCCAGCCAUAGAAACAUCAAUGUCUAUGAGCAGAUAGCAUGGAGGAUACAGGAGAAGGGCUAUGACAGGAACCAGCAGUAGUGUCAUGUGAAAGCCAAGCAGCUGUGGCAGGCAUACCAGAGAGGCCAACAGUUGACCCAGUGUUCAGCCUCAGACCUGCCGCUCUUACAAAGGGCUGUAUACCAUACUGGGCAGAGACCCCACCACCACCCACCACAGCACCAUGGAUACAUCCAAGGUGCCUGAGUCACAAGUUCCUGCGGUGAACAGCAAGGAGGAGGAGGAGUAUGGCGGACAAGUGACCAGGGGAAUCCAGCUGCUCAGUGAGCCAGGACCUAUUUUUUGAAUCCACCGCAGUCCAGCAAGGACGAGCCCAAUGCAGGUGAAGGAACCUCAGCUGCUGCAUUGCAGCCUUGAGGGUCUCCCUCUCCAUGCCUGCAGAAUGCCUGAGUCAGAUAAGGAGGGAAAAGAAGACUCAAGAUAACAUGUUCAGUGAGACCUGUUAGCCAGUGCCGCAUCAGACUGAGAGCACAGGACUAGGAGAGUAAACAUUGCGGACAGCCUGGAAAGCGAAAGAGCGGAGAGGAGAAAGGCCGAGGAGUCCCAAGCAGAGGACCAGACAGGAGAAGCUGGGGGGAGGAGUCGGCAUUUGGGCAAUGGAUCAGACUCUACAAUGGUUGGUGGAGCAACAAAAAGAGAUGCAGAAGACCAUGCAUUCGUUCCAGGAAUCCCAUCAGAUGGAAUGACAGUCCCUCCUUGCAUGAAAGGCCAAGCAGCAGAAGAGCCUUCAAAAGUUCAUAAAAGAACAGGAACAGAUGCAGCAGCAACCAAUACAAGGUCUCGUAAAUCGUCCAACAGAGAAUAGCAGUAGGACACAGAGGCUGAGCCUGUGUCAGAUGGGCCAGCAGAUGAUGUAUUUUUACUAACUUUUGUGAGGGUAGCAAUGGGAGUUAGAUGGGAUAAGAUAUCAUGGACCCUCUGAAUGGCACUCUAUGUCUCAGGGGAAGCCCAGGCAGCCUACAUGGUCUGAGUGAAGAACAGGCCAAGGACUACUAUGGGAUAAAGGUGGCCAUUCUGACAGGAUUGACUUUUCAGUCAGAAGUUUUGGGCUACUAGAUGAAUAAGGGGCAUGCAACCCAGGGCAUUUGCGCAAAACUUAACAGACUGGGCAACUCGCUGGCUAAGAAUAGACACACGAAGUGCAGGGUUAAAAAUAGAUAUGAUGAUAAUGGAGCAAUUUCUCCGGAGCCUCCCUGAAAGUGCACGUGUUUCGGUCCUGAGGCACCAAGCAACUACCCUAAAGGAAGCUAUAGAGGUUGCAGAAGAGUUUGUGGAUGCAGACUUUCCCAGGAAAGAAUUCCAGCUGCUUCAGGGACCAUACCUGGGGAAUAAGGCAGGCAAUUUUGACACACCUAUGACAAAUGAGAAGAAAAAGGGGGAGACGAGGGGAACUCCUUCAGGGAACCAGGGAGUAGUUUGCUGUUGGUAUGGGUGGCCGAGGCAUAUAAAGUGAGACUGCCCCAUAAGGGAAGGUGGGUUCACAGAAUUUUGUGACUAAAACUAUGAGAGACAUGCAGGAAAAGAAAACACCUCUAUCCCUGUAAAUGUGGGGAGGAGGCAUCAGAAGGAACUGGUGAACACUGGUUUAAAAUGCACACUGGUCUGGAGGUAUUUGCUGCACCCCCCAUUGGAUGCUGCCAGGUGGGAGCUGUACUAGAAUGUAUUCAUGGCAAGAAGAGACUUCCCAAUGGCAGAAAUACCCCUAGAGCAACGGUUCUCAACCUGCAGCUCACGGGCCACUUGCAGCCCAAUCAGCACAGAGCUCGGCCCAUAUGUCAUCCUCAGGGCCAUAAAGGUAGUAUUGGAUGCAGCCCACAUAACGCACUGGGCCGCAUAUAUGGCCCACGAUGGUAAA